CCUACGGGAGGCAACAGUCGAGAAUCAUUCACAAUGGGGGAAACCCUGAUGGUGCGACGCCGCGUGGGGGAAUGAAGGUCUUCGGAUUGUAAACCCCUGUCAUGUGGGAGCAAAUUAAAAAGAUAGUACCACAAGAGGAAGAGACAGCUAACUCUGUGCCAGCAGCCGCGGUAAUACAGAGGUCUCAAGCGUUGUUCGGAAUCACUGGGCGUAAAGCGUGCGUAGGCUGUUUCGUAAGUCGUGUGUGAAAGGCGCGGGCUCAACCCGCGGACGGCACAUGAUACUGCGAGACGAGAGGAAUGGAGGGGGAACCGGAAUUCUCGGUGUAGCAGUGAAAUGCGUAGAUAUCGAGAGGAACACUCGUGGCGAAGGCGGGUUCCUGGACAUUAACUGACGCUGAGGCACGAAGGCCAGGGGAGCGAAAGGGAUUAGAUACCCGAGUAGUC
This 446-nucleotide ribosomal RNA is filed under the name uncultured bacterium. RNAcentral describes it as "partial 16S ribosomal RNA". It matches the Rfam family "Bacterial small subunit ribosomal RNA", at positions 338 to 795 of the family's 1533-position model. The record is from RNAcentral.